This 206-nucleotide ribosomal RNA is filed under the name uncultured bacterium. RNAcentral describes it as "partial 16S ribosomal RNA". It matches the Rfam family "Bacterial small subunit ribosomal RNA", at positions 568 to 774 of the family's 1533-position model. The record is from RNAcentral.
UGCGUAGGCGGCUUCUUAAGUCUGGUGUGAAAGCCCAGGGCUCAGCUCUGGAAGUGCACUAGAAACUGGGGAGCUUGAGUACCGGAGGGGAGAGUGGAAUUCCUGGUGUAGCGGUGAAAUGCGUAGAUAUCAGGAGGAAUACCGGUGGCGAAAGCGACUCUCUGGACGGUUACUGACGCUGAGGCACGAAAGCGUGGGAGCAAACA